UUUUUUUUUUUUUUUUUUUUUUUAAGAUUUUGUUUAUUUACUUGAGAGAGACAGAGACAUAGGCAGGCUCCCCACAGGGAGCCUGAUGCAGGACUCACAACCUGAGCCAGAGGCAGACACUCCACCACUGUCAUAAUGCAGAAGCAGCCCUAGACAAUAUGUAAAUCAAUGAGUAUGCCUAUGUUUUAAUAAAACUUCAUUUAAGGAAAUGAGCCAUGGGCUGAGUUUGGCCCACCAAAGUUUUUACUACCCCUUGCUUUUAGUUCUCUCAACAAUCUGCUCUUAGAAUGGAAUUUUUUAAAUUAAAACCAAGUUUGAUACAGUUUUUUUUUGUGAUGUAUACCAGCUGUAUAAAAGUCACAAAAUAUAAAAAAUAUGCAUAUAAGUUACCAAUGUAAAUGUAUUUAAAAGUGAAGAGAAUGUAAGUAAUGAAAGUGAUUAGUGGGUAAAGUAAAUGGGUCAUUUGUGUGCAAACGGUAAUGCAUCUUACAGAGGAAUUAACAGUAAAACAGGUGCUGUGGGAAUUUCUGUCCAGGUUAGGUGAGAAAUAGAUACUAGUUAUUUAAGUGAUUUGAAAUAGCCCUUAAGAAAAGUAAUUAGAGUUCUUGGGAUGGAGGAGAAUGGAGGUGAGGUGAAAACAAUAUUUACUGAUUUUUUUUUCCCACUACUGAUAUCUGCUUAUUUAACUUGGAAUAUGUCCCAUUUAAUCGGGGUAUUGGCACUGUUUAUUCCUUAUUUUAGCAAUUUGUUAGGAUUCUUAUUUUCAGCAAAGUGCCUUGACUCCAUUGAAGAUCUUAUCCAGUGAAACUUGCUGGAGAAAUUUCUAGGACAUUAUUUGUUGCUAGUUGAGAAGGUAGCAUUAGCAGAAAAAUUUUCCUAUAAUGCAGUUGAAAUAGGAUCAGUUUGGUUGAUUUUGGUGUUCAUUGGUUUAAAUAUGUUCUUAAUUGGAUAAUUGAGAAGUAGUAUCUUGGAACAGGUAUUUUACCUCUUCAAAGUCUUCUUUGAAUGUUUUUUUUUUUUUUUUUUUUUUUUUAGUUCUGUCUUUUGAGCUUCUGUUAAUAAGUGCCCCAAAUUUAAAAAUCAUCUUUCUUUAAAAAGUACAUACCAUUAUUAUGAUAGUGUAAAUGUUUGAGUAAAGAGUGUAGGAAGAAUGUUAAUAUUAGGUAGAUCAAUCUAAAAAAUCAUGAUUUUAGUCAAUGUCUAGAAUGUACUUACUAAAAAAAUAAAAAAUACUCAUUUCUAGUAAAGUCAUUUUUAAUAUGUUAGAAAAAUUCUUCCUUGAUGUGAAGGUAAUGUUCAGGUUGCAAGUGAAAUUGCUUCUUUCGGUUAAGGUGCCUGCUCUCAUCAAUUAUUUCAUAAGUUAUUGCUAAUGUAAAAAGAUAGGAAAACAAAAUGAAAAAUUUGGAUAGAGAAUAAAAUACUAUUUGCAAAUUACUUGAUUGCAAUAUUUUGAAAAUCCAAAGAAUUACACUGAAAAUUAGCUUUCCUUUUUUUUCUUUUAAGAUUUAUUUAUUUAUUUAUUCAUAAGAGACACAGAGAAAGAGAGGCAGAGACGCAGGCAGAGGGAGAAGUAGGCUCCAUGCAGGGAGCCCGAUGUGGGACUUGAUCCCGGGUCUCCAGGAUCACUCCCUGGGCUGAAGGUGGCGCUAAACUGCUGAGCCACCCAGGCUGCUCCAAAAAUUAGCUUUCCUAAACAAUAAUAAUCAAUUGGCAAAUUAUAAGAGAAGACCCAUUUAUAGUAAGAUCCACAAAAUAAUAAAAGUUAUGUGGCGCUGCCAAAGGAAAAAACUACAAAACUUAACUGGGAGAUACAGUGUCUCUGGGUAUAAGAUUAAAUAUAUCCCCAUUUGAUAGGUCCCAUUUUCCACACAGAUCUUCCACAGAAGGCUUGUAUCAAGUGGGAGGUGGCAGCUGGUUAGUGGUGCCCAUUGUACCAUUCCCAAAUCCUGUAGUGUAAGGAGAAUCAGGGCAGGACAGCUACUCUUAUUGUACAAGUACCUUUCCAACACAACCGUGUUAUGAGAGACCUGCCCUGGUGAGCUUGGCAUCCAGAUGACAGCUUAUAUCUCUCAAAGCUUUCUGGGGACAGAAGAGCUAUUCUGUGUACAUUCAGCAGCUGGUGAACAUUAUUUUUUUUAAUUAUUUUUUAUUUUAAGAUUUUUUAAUUUAUUCAUGAGAAACACAGAGAGAGGUAGAGACACAGGCAGAGGAAGAAACAGGCUCCAUGCAGGGAGCCCGAUGCAGGCUUGAUCCUGGAACUCUGGGAUCACGCCCUGAGCCAAAGGCAGAUGCUCAACCACUGAGCCACUCAGGCAUCCCACUAGUGAACAUUAGAGCAGAUUCCGUCCUCUGUGAUUCUGGGCUAUAGAAGAUCCAUACUGGGAGGUGAUAGAAGAUUCUCCCCCAUGUUGUCCUCUAACCCCUGACACAACUGCUCUGCAGGGAGGAUCUGAGGGGACAUUCAGCGAAGAGCCAGGUUUCCCAUACCCUCACUCCUACGCCCUACCAAACAUGCUCCAUAGUACAAAGGCGAAGAAAGGGGUUCACUUUAAGAGAAGGGUUGAGUGAGCUUGACAGCACACUUCCCAUAUACUAGGGGCCUAACUUUACCUGGAACAGACUGGAGCUGUUUGUACCCCCAAAAUUGUUGAAAACUAUAGGACAAUCAGCUACCAAUUAAAUAGAGGCUAGCAGUUACUGGUAAUACCAAUAGAUACCAGCCAGAAAGCUUAAAGACCAAAUCGGGGAGACAAAGACUGGGUAAAACUACAGACAUCCCUUGUGAUUAAUGUGUGUGAUUCAGGGCUAGAGCCACAUAGGAACAACCAGAGUUACAAGUCCCUAACAGAAUGUAGGACAAAACUUGUAAACUCCCUAAACAGUGAAAGAUGCCACACCCCACAUAUUGUUGUAGGGUGUAAAUCUCCCUGAUUCAGGGGGCUUAAACACAACCUCUUAUUAAUUAAUGGCUGAUCAUUAAUGAUGCUGACUCAGAAGCAACCCUUAGGAAGUCAUCCUUAAAGAUAAAAAUGAGAGAAACAACUUGAGCAGGAACAUCAGAUGUGUCCCUGCACAUUGUGAGGGACACAGACUUCAUGAAUUAGUUCAGCCAUGCCACUAAAUAAAAAAUAAGCUCAGAGUAGACCGGAGAACCACCAUGUAGACAUCCUACAAUAUGUUACCUAAAACCUGUUUUCAACACAAAAUUAUGAGACAUUCAAAGAAACAAAGUGUGACACGUGGACAAAAGCAGGCAACAGAAAUUUCCUUUGAUGGACAGCAGAUACAGGAUAAGUGUUCUGAAACAAUUGUAAAUCUGUUCAAACACCUAAAGAAAACCAAGUUUAAAGAAUUAAAGUAUGCUGACUGUGACUCAUCAAAUGUAAAUAAAAAGGUAGGAAGAAAAAGAACUAAAUGAAAAUUUUGGGAGUUGAAAAUUUGGAACUUUUGCUAGGGAGGCUCAAUAGUACAUUUAAGCUGGCAGAAGAAUCAGCAAACCUGAAGAUGGAUGGAGAGAAAUUACAAAAUCUGAAGCACAAAUGGGAAAAGGAAUGGGAAAAAAAAAAAAAAAAAAAGCCUUCCUCACACUACAUGCACAAGUCAACUCAAGAUGGAUCAUAAACCAAAAUAUAAGCAAAACCCAUAAAACUCAUGAAAAUAUUGUGACCUCUUUAAGUAGUCGUCUUAGAUAUGACACCAAAAUCACAAAUGAAAAAAGAAAUAAUUUAAAAUGCAUAGUUUUUAUUAGAUUAUGAGUUGACCUAUUUCAUCUAAUUCAAUAAUUUCAAUAAAAACUUUGCUCUACAUAUCUUCAUUCCUCUAGCAAUGUUUAUCUGGGAAUGUCUUAAUUUUUUUCUUCCUUUUUGAAGGAUAGUUUUGCUGACUAUAGAAUUGAUUGACAGUUUUUUCUGUUCAGCACCUUGAGUACAUCAUCUCACUGCUUCUGGCCUCCAUGGUUUCUGUAGAUAAGUCAGCUGUUAAUCUUAUUGAGGAUCCCUUGUAUUGAUGAGUCCCUUGCUGUUUCAAGAUUGUCUCUUGCUUUUGUUUUUAAUAGUUUGAUUAUAAUAUGUCUGGGUAUACAUAUCUUUGAGAACUUGGGAGUUCCUGGAGUUUCAUGGAUUUGUAGGUUAAUAUUUAUCAUCAGAUUUGGGAAGUUUUUUUCAAAUAUUCUUUUCGAUGCUUUUUUCCCUUUUCCUCUCAGACUCACAUUAUAUAUAUGCUGUUAUACUUGUUGGCUCUAUUCUCUUAGGCUCUGUUCAUUUUCUUCAUUUUUUUCCUGUUCCUCAAACUGUACGAUGUCAGUUGAUCUAUCUUUAAGUUUAUAUAUUCAUCUGCUUGCUCAAAUCUGUUGCUGAGCCACUCAAGUGAAAUUUUCAUUUCAAUUAUUAUACUUUUCAACUCUAAUUGAAAGUUAUAGAUUUAAAAGUUCUUUUCACUACUUCUAUUUAUAGUCUUCAUUUGGUUGAAACAUACUUUGAUUUCAUUCUUUAGACAUGGCUUCAUUAAAAUCUUUGCUUAGAAAAUCCGGUGUCUGGGCUUUCUCAGGAUAUCUAUUGAUUGCUUUUCCUCCUGUGUAUGAGCCAUAUUUUCCUCUCUUUGCAUGCCUUGUAAUUCUUAGUUGAAAACAGAACUUUUAAAUUAUUAUAAUGUGGCAACACUGAAAAUCAGAUUCUCCACUCCCUCUUCCAUCCUAGUGUUUGUUGUUGCUGCUUGUUGUAGUUGUUGUUUGUCUAGUAACUUUUCUGAACUAAUUUUGUAAAGUCUGUAUUCUUUGUCAUGUGUGGCCACUGAAGUAUCUGUUGUUAACUUAAUGGCCAGCUAAUGAUUGGACAGAGAUUUCCUUAAACAUCCAGAAUGAAAAAAUUUCCCACUGUUUGCCGUGGAUUCUGUGUGUGUUUUUGUGGUGCACAUCCAGCACUCAGCCAGGUAGUUUACAAUUGUGCCUUAACCUCAGCUUUCUACUUAGGAGAACCUCCAGGUCAGUCAGAGAUGACAGCUUGAGGCCUUCUCAGGGCUUUCCUUAGAAUACACACAGCCCUGACCAUGCAUGUCGCCUUCUAGAUUCCCAGGAAUAU
RNAcentral lists this long non-coding RNA (5075 nucleotides) under Canis lupus familiaris (dog). RNAcentral describes it as "lncRNA (ENSCAFG00000055683.1)". The record is from RNAcentral. Lineage: Eukaryota; Metazoa; Chordata; Mammalia; Carnivora; Canidae.